AAGAACCCCUGUGAGGGGAGUGAAAUAGAACCUGAAACCGUGUACGUACAAGCAGUAGGAGCAGGCUUUGUCCUGUGACUGCGUACCUUUUGUAUAAUGGGUCAGCGACUUAUAUUCAGUGGCAAGGUUAACCAUCUAGGGGAGCCGUAGGGAAACCGAGUCUUAACUGGGCGUUCAGUCUCUGGAUAUAGACCCGAAACCAGGUGAUCUAGCCAUGGGCAGGUUGAAGGUUGAGUAACAUCAACUGGAGGACCGAACCGACUAAUGUUGAAAAAUUAGCGGAUGACUUGUGGCUAGGGGUGAAAGGCCAAUCAAACCUGGAGAUAGCUGGUUCUCCCCGAAAGCUAUUUAGGUAGCGCCUCGGACGAAUACUACUGGGGGUAGAGCACUGUUAAGGCUAGGGGGUCAUCCCGACUUACCAACCCUUUGCAAACUCCGAAUACCAGUAAGUACUAUCCGGGAGACACACGGCGGGUGCUAACGUCCGUCGUGGAGAGGGAAACAACCCAGACCGCCAGCUAAGGUCCCAAAUUACUACUAAGUGGGAAACGAUGUGGGAAGGCUCAGACAGCCAGGAUGUUGGCUUAGAAGCAGCCAUCAUUUAAAGAAAGCGUAAUAGCUCACUGGUCGAGUCGGCCUGCGCGGAAGAUGUAACGGGGCUAAGUA
Molecule: ribosomal RNA, 666 nt
Filed under: Vibrio alginolyticus
Lineage: Bacteria; Pseudomonadati; Pseudomonadota; Gammaproteobacteria; Vibrionales; Vibrionaceae
Description: partial 23S ribosomal RNA
Rfam family: Bacterial large subunit ribosomal RNA
Source: RNAcentral